GAAGGUGGCCUGUGAGGGUUGCUGGAGGUAUCAGAAGUGCGAAUGCUGACAUAAGUAACGAUAAAGCGGGUGAAAAGCCCGCUCGCCGGAAGACCAAGGGUUCCUGUCCAACGUUAAUCGGGGCAGGGUGAGUCGACCCCUAAGGCGAGGCCGAAAGGCGUAGUCGAUGGGAAACGGGUUAAUAUUCCCGUACUUGGUGUUACUGCGAAGGGGGGACGGAGAAGGCUAUGUUGGCCGGGCGACGGUUGUCCCGGUUUAAGCGUGUAGGUGUGUGUUCCAGGUAAAUCCGGUUCACUUUAACACUGAGGCGUGACGACGAGGCACUACGGUGCUGAAGCAACAAAUGCCCUGCUUCCAGGAAAAGCCUCUAAGCAUCAGGUAACAUCAAAUCGUACCCCAAACCGACACAGGUGGUCAGGUAGAGAAUACCAAGGCGCUUGAGAGAACUCGGGUGAAGGAACUAGGCAAAAUGGUGCCGUAACUUCGGGAGAAGGCACGCUGACACGUAGGUGAAGUGAUUUACUCAUGGAGCUGAAGUCAGUCGAAGAUACCAGCUGGCUGCAACUGUUUAUUAAAAACACAGCACUGUGCAAACACGAAAGUGGACGUAUACGGUGUGACGCCUGCCCGGUGCCGGAAGGUUAAUUGAUGGGGUCAGCGCAAGCGAAGCUCCUGAUCGAAGCCCCGGUAAACGGCGGCCGUAACUAUAACGGUCCUAAGGUAGCGAAAUUCCUUGUCGGGUAAGUUCCGACCUGCACGAAUGGCGUAAUGAUGGCCAGGCUGUCUCCACCCGAGACUCAGUGAAAUUGAACUCGCUGUGAAGAUGCAGUGUACCCGCGGCAAGACGGAAAGACCCCGUGAACCUUUACUAUAGCUUGACACUGAACAUUGAGCCUUGAUGUGUAGGAUAGGUGGGAGGCUUUGAAGUGUGGACGCCAGUCUGCAUGGAGCCGACCUUGAAAUACCACCCUUUAAUGUUUGAUGUUCUAACGUGGACCCGUUACCCGGGUUGCGGACAGUGUCUGGUGGGUAGUUUGACUGGGGCGGUCUCCUCCUAAAGAGUAACGGAGGAGCACGAAGGUUGGCUAAUCCUGGUCGGACAUCAGGAGGUUAGUGCAAUGGCAUAAGCCAGCUUGACUGCGAGCGUGACGGCGCGAGCAGGUGCGAAAGCAGGUCAUAGUGAUCCGGUGGUUCUGAAUGGAAGGGCCAUCGCUCAACGGAUAAAAGGUACUCCGGGGAUAACAGGCUGAUACCGCCCAAGAGUUCAUAUCGACGGCGGUGUUUGGCACCUCGAUGUCGGCUCAUCACAUCCUGGGGCUGAAGUAGGUCCCAAGGGUAUGGCUGUUCGCCAUUUAAAGUGGUACGCGAGCUGGGUUUAGAACGUCGUGAGACAGUUCGGUCCCUAUCUGCCGUGGGCGCUGGAGAACUGAGGGGGGCUGCUCCUAGUACGAGAGGACCGGAGUGGACGCAUCACUGGUGUUCGGGUUGUCAUGCCAAUGGCACUGCCCGGUAGCUAAAUGCGGAAGAGAUAAGUGCUGAAAGCAUCUAAGCACGAAACUUGCCCCGAGAUGAGUUCUCCCUGAGACUU
This 1588-nucleotide ribosomal RNA is filed under the name Salmonella enterica subsp. enterica serovar Hadar. RNAcentral describes it as "bacterial LSU rRNA". It matches the Rfam family "Bacterial large subunit ribosomal RNA", at positions 1252 to 2823 of the family's 2925-position model. Lineage: Bacteria; Pseudomonadati; Pseudomonadota; Gammaproteobacteria; Enterobacterales; Enterobacteriaceae. The record is from RNAcentral.